CGUUCGUUGCCUCGCCUAUCCACCUCCUCUGCCGCAACACAUGUACGAGUGUGUCCUUCUCUCGAUCCUCGAACGAGAUACCGCUGUAGCGUUCAUACGCUAAUAUCACUCUGUUUAUCUUAUAAUCGUGCUCGUAUACGUUUCCUGCCCCUGUCGCCAUGCAAACAUACUGCCGCGUCCUACCUUUGUUUCCAUGUUUACAGCGUGUUCGAUCGUUUGUUUUAUUUUAUGGGAAAUAAAGUUUACUCUCGCGGCGUUCGCAUCGUCUUCAUCGACGCUAUCCCAAAGAAGAAGGGAUAGGUUAGAAGCAACAUCAGGCUGUUCUUUUCUAUCCGAAGAGAAAUAGAGAUAAUCGACGCAAUAAUAUUCUUACGUGUUACGCGAAAGAGAGAAUACUUACAAGAGAGAGAGAGAGAGAGAGAGAAAUUGUUCGCUAUUCUUCGGGCGUAUCAUUUGCAAAAGUCGCGUUUGAGGAAUUCAACGAGCGAAGAGCAGGAUGGAAUCCCGAUCAAAUGCCAAGAGCCACGUAAUUUUCAGAGACCCGAAUGUUUUUUGAGCGAACAGUACGCAGAAGCGGCGGGCGUGGAGAAGGGAAAAGGGCGUAGUAAGUCAUACGGAGAGGCUCGUACGUCAUCCUCCAUCCGGGCCAACGGAGCAACAC
RNAcentral lists this unclassified non-coding RNA (661 nucleotides) under Bombus terrestris (buff-tailed bumblebee). Its description in RNAcentral is "misc RNA ENSBTSG00005024509.1". The record is from RNAcentral. Lineage: Eukaryota; Metazoa; Arthropoda; Insecta; Hymenoptera; Apidae.